GUGAGAUCAAGCCUUGGUGGAGUGAGCGCUUCGUUUACACCGAAGAUGUCGGCGGUUCGAGCCCGUCAUCGCCCACCA
RNAcentral lists this transfer RNA (78 nucleotides) under Mesorhizobium sp. Its description in RNAcentral is "tRNA-Val". Lineage: Bacteria; Pseudomonadati; Pseudomonadota; Alphaproteobacteria; Hyphomicrobiales; Phyllobacteriaceae. The record is from RNAcentral.